UUUCUUUCUUUUCUUUUUUUUUUUUUUUUUGAGGCUUGGAGAAGGCCGCCCCCUGCCGCCACUGAGGACAACUACACUAAUACAGACAAGAGCGCCUCAACAGUAACACACUCAGAGUUGGGGUUUUGCCAUAUGCAACUAGCUACCAUCUCCAAUGCUUGUGCAAAACAAAAAAAACCUUGAAAGUCAGGAGCCGGACAGAAGGGUGAACGGUGUGCCGAGAGCCGCAGAGACCUGGGACGACGGAGAGAGAGAGGAGGAUCAGAUCGCCUCGCCCACAGAGCCUCUCACCUCGACACACUGAGGGGGGAAGUUAAAGCGUGCCAAUAUGGCCAGCUUUCAAGCAACCACCCCUCGGAGCGUUCCCUGUGGUGAAGCUGAAGGCUCUCCUGCGUUGCAUGGUGGGAGACACAACCCUCAGCCCCAAACCACCCCUCAGAUCAACUAGUCUAUGCAGCAGAGCGGAUGAGGAAAACAAAAUGCUCAUUGGGGAAGAGGAAGCAGAAAAAAGGUCAAGGAGGAAGUCAUCAUCUUUGAAAGGAGGAAGGAGGAGGGAGGAAGUCACAUGAUGAGAAAGAUAGGGACAGGUCUUCGCUCAGGCACGGCUCGGUUUCUGACAGGGUCUCUUCCCAGUGCGCCCUGGGAAGUGCGGUCCUCAGCUCUCCAGACUCAUGAAGGCCACCACCUGCUCCAGCUUGAUGGCAAGCCUUUGUUUCCUGGCUGCGUCAUCCUGCUCCAGCGCACACACAAUCUGCCGACCGGACAGUGAGACUGAAUCACCACCAUGGCCCAGGACUACAUGCCAGUACCAGCUGUGGAUGAGGAUCAUACAAGGCAAGCCAAGUAUCUGGACUUGAUGGAUGAGUGCUCCAGAGGCUUUUUAGGGCACCGGGUGCAGAACGCACUCUUAGGCAUCGCAGGUGUGAACAAGAGGAGUGUCCUGUGGACUGGACUGUGCAUGCAACUGAACAGAAGCCAGGGAAUUUUCAAAGGGAUGAAGAAAUUAGAUGCUGAAUGACCGAAAACACAGAAAUUCACAGCUAACAGAGCAGUAGCUUCUACCAAGAAAUAGCAACAUUAUUGUCAUUAAUACCUAUGUAUUUCCUUCAUUCCUUUACACUACAAAUGGCACUCACCACAAGGGACCACAUAUUUGUAUAAAUAUCUGAUUAACAGCUUAUCACCCUGUCAAUCUCUCAUGGUUGCCAGGCGCCAUUAACCUCAGUCUCUACUAAUGCCAAGUGACAACCACACAUAUAAGUCAUUAUAUCAUAAGCCUCGGUCAUCAACAAACUGCAUCCAUUGCUGUGGGGAGCAAAAUCAUAUUAUAGGAGAAAACCACUAAAUGCCAGCUUUAAAAGGCGUUUGCUCUAGGUUACUCUGAGCUAUAAUUGUGUGUGGUGACAUCAGUUUCCUACGCUAAUCUGUGACUAUCCAGGAAGACUGUCUUGUGACUGUGAUCAAAGUACCUUUGAAUCUGGUAGCAUUACUGUGGUGCAAACUUUAAUAAAUAAAGCACUGUAU
Molecule: long non-coding RNA, 1524 nt
Organism: Myripristis murdjan (pinecone soldierfish)
Lineage: Eukaryota; Metazoa; Chordata; Actinopteri; Holocentriformes; Holocentridae
Exons: 3
Source: RefSeq, a predicted model, not a curated record